RNAcentral lists this ribosomal RNA (213 nucleotides) under uncultured bacterium. Its description in RNAcentral is "partial 16S ribosomal RNA". It matches the Rfam family "Bacterial small subunit ribosomal RNA", at positions 1288 to 1500 of the family's 1533-position model. The record is from RNAcentral.
UCAGUUCAGACNGCAGGCUGCAACUCGCCUGCACGAAGUCGGAAUUGCUAGUAAUCGUAGGUCAGCAUACUACGGUGAAUACGUUCCCGGGCCUUGUACACACCGCCCGUCAAACCAUGAGAGUUGGCAACACCCGAAGUCGGUAGUCUAACCGCAAGGAGGACGCCGCCGAAGGUGGGGUUGAUGAUUAGGGUUAAGUCGUAACAAGGUAAC